RNAcentral lists this ribosomal RNA (477 nucleotides) under uncultured soil bacterium. Its description in RNAcentral is "bacterial SSU rRNA". It matches the Rfam family "Bacterial small subunit ribosomal RNA", at positions 26 to 523 of the family's 1533-position model. The record is from RNAcentral.
AGAUUGAACGCUGGCGGCAUGCCUUACACAUGCAAGUCGAACGGCAGCACGGGAGCAAUCCUGGUGGCGAGUGGCGAACGGGUGAGUAAUACAUCGGAACGUGCCCAAUCGUGGGGGAUAACGCAGCGAAAGCUGUGCUAAUACCGCAUAAGAUCUACGGAUGAAAGCAGGGGAUCGCAAGACCUUACGCGAAUGGAGCGGCCGAUGGCAGAUUAGGUAGUUGGUGAGGUAAAGGCUCACCAAGCCUUCGAUCUGUAGCUGGUCUGAGAGGACGACCAGCCACACUGGGACUGAGACACGGCCCAGACUCCUACGGGAGGCAGCAGUGGGGAAUUUUGGACAAUGGGCGCAAGCCUGAUGCAGCAACGCCGCGUGAGGACGAAGGCCUCGGUUGUAACUCUUUAGUAGGAAGAAGCGAAAGUGACGGUACUGACAGAAAAAGCAACCGGCUAACUACGUAGCAGACAGCCGCGGUAA